RNAcentral lists this ribosomal RNA (494 nucleotides) under uncultured bacterium. RNAcentral's name for it is "partial 16S ribosomal RNA". It matches the Rfam family "Bacterial small subunit ribosomal RNA", at positions 28 to 507 of the family's 1533-position model. The record is from RNAcentral.
GACGAACGCUGGCGGCGUGCUUAACACAUGCAAGUCGAACGGUGAAGCGCCUUCCUUUUUGGUGGGUGUGGAUGAGUGGCGAACGGGUGAGUAACACGUGAGUAACCUGCCCCCUUCUUCUGGAUAACCGCAUGAAAGUGUGGCUAAUACGGGAUAUUCUGGGUCUGUCGCAUGAUGGGUCUGGGAAAGAUAUUGUUUCGGUGGGGGAUGGGCUCGCGGCCUAUCAGCUUGUUGGUGGGGUGAUGGCCUACCAAGGCGGUGACGGGUAGCCGGCCUGAGAGGGUGGACGGUCACACUGGGACUGAGACACGGCCCAGACUCCUACGGGAGGCAGCAGGGGGGAAUAUUGCACAAUGGGCGCAAGCAUGAUGCAGCGACGCCGCGGGAGGGAUGGAGGCCUUCGGGUUGUGAACCUCUUUCGCCAGUGAAGCAGGCCUGCCUCGUUUGUGGGUGGGUUGACGGUAGCUGGAUAAGAAGCGCCGGCUAACUACGUG